This 336-nucleotide long non-coding RNA is filed under the name Nicotiana benthamiana. Its description in RNAcentral is "long non-coding RNA (NBEN_LNC010651)". Lineage: Eukaryota; Viridiplantae; Streptophyta; Magnoliopsida; Solanales; Solanaceae. The record is from RNAcentral.
UCCCUAUGACGCUCUGAAUGCCCCAGCUCCCCUAGCUCUAUGUUACGAUCCCCCACCUCGUUAAGUAAGUCCCGGAAGUACUCCUGCCACCUCUGUUUGAUUUGAGAUUCCCCCAACAGCACUCUACCAUCCUCGCCCUUGAUACACCUAACUUGGUCUAGAUCGUGUGCCUUCCUCUCCCUCGCUUUAGCUAACCGGAAUAACUUCUUAUCCCCGCCUCUCUCCCCUAGCUCUUCGUACAUGCGACCGAACACCGCGUUUUUAGCUUCCGUGACUGCCAUCUUUGCUUCUUUCCUUGCCACCUUGUAGAUUGCCCUGUUCGCUCGCCGUUCAUCG